RNAcentral lists this transfer-messenger RNA (354 nucleotides) under Planctomycetota. Its description in RNAcentral is "GCA-2683825 sp002683825 Standard tmRNA". It matches the Rfam family "transfer-messenger RNA". From Rfam's summary of the family: Bacterial tmRNA, also known as 10Sa RNA or SsrA, is named for its dual tRNA and mRNA-like properties. Its role is to liberate the mRNA from a stalled ribosome. To accomplish this part of the tmRNA is used as a reading frame that ends in a translation stop signal. The record is from RNAcentral. RNAcentral also lists the same sequence under 1 other name. Lineage: Bacteria; Pseudomonadati.
GGGGGCGCACUGGUUUCGACCGGUUUGGUUGCGCUCCGGACUGCGCGCCGGGGGUCCGAGGUCCCCGUCAAUCCACUCGGAACGGCAACUCAAUUGCCAACAACUUUGCAAUCGCAGCCUAGUCAAUAGGCCGCCGUUUCCCGCGGGAGUGCCCGUGGCCUGCGGGAAACGCCAACAGCGGGCUGGUCGGUGAACUCCGCACACCGGUGAGCCGACGAGACCUUUGGAGUGCUGGCCCGAGGGGAGCCUGUUCGUGGGCGCCCGGAGGGUGAGAAACAAACCACGAACUACGCACGUAGACGUCCGGUGUCGAACGAUUUCGGGACGCGGGUUCGAUUCCCGCCGCCUCCACCC